GCGACAGCAAGGAUGAGGAGAGUAAGUUUCUCAUUUUCAUAUUAGAGAGAACCACCUUGGCUGAAAGUGGUUUAUGAAAAAGGAAACUGAAGUGCACCUCGGAGCCUUUUAUCGAACCAAUAGUAGAUAAAAGCGGCCCUCCACGUUACGGAGUACAAGGGAAGAGCAAAAAUACUGAAUUUCCUCGUUGUUUUCGUAUUUUUGUUGUUAAACAGAGUGGAACCGCGCCAAAAGCGUCUCUGUG
RNAcentral lists this non-coding RNA (244 nucleotides) under Fictibacillus enclensis. RNAcentral's name for it is "T-box sequence". It matches the Rfam family "T-box leader". Rfam says of the family: Uncharged tRNA acts as the effector for transcription antitermination of genes in the T-box leader family. T-boxes are found upstream of many aminoacyl-tRNA synthetase genes and some amino acid biosynthetic genes usually in Gram-positive bacteria. The anticodon of a specific tRNA base pairs to a specifier sequence within the T-box motif, and the NCCA acceptor tail of the tRNA base pairs to a conserved bulge in the T-box antiterminator hairpin. Lineage: Bacteria; Bacillati; Bacillota; Bacilli; Caryophanales; Fictibacillaceae. The record is from RNAcentral.